GUUUGUCCACCAGAUCAGCAGGGAUUUGGGUGGGCUGUAAAAUCAAAGCAGUACUGAUAAGGACUUUGAUAGUGACAGAUGAUAUCCCUGUAGAUCUCCACCAGCGCCAGGGCAAUGAAGAGGACAAAGUGACUAGAGGAGGCAAACUUUGCCGCCCAGAUGGUUUCCCAGACUGCAAACACGUCAUCGUACACCAGCUCUGAAAGACAAAGCACAAAAGAGCGGGAUCGAACCACCACAUCAGUGUUUCCGGGCUCGGAUGGGACACAAACAUGUAGGAAGUUGAGUCAUCAGUUGAGAGAGAUGAGAGCUGAGGCGGUGUUGUUGCCGAGGUCCGGCCAGAGAGUCAAAGUGUGGGUAGAGGCUCUCCAUCUCCGGCUCCUCAGACAGGAUGGACUCGGUGCCCUCUGGACUGGGC
Molecule: long non-coding RNA, 418 nt
Organism: Thunnus maccoyii (southern bluefin tuna)
Lineage: Eukaryota; Metazoa; Chordata; Actinopteri; Scombriformes; Scombridae
Exons: 3
Source: RefSeq, a predicted model, not a curated record